Numida meleagris (helmeted guineafowl) is the source of this 2766-nucleotide long non-coding RNA. RefSeq lists it as uncharacterized. The transcript has 3 exons. NCBI's taxonomy places the organism in Eukaryota, Metazoa, Chordata, Aves, Galliformes, Numididae. The record is from RefSeq and is a predicted model, not a curated record.
AGUGAAGGGGGACGCGUUAUUCGACCCGAAAGUAAUGCCUCCUAUUUAUCUCCAUGGAAAGUACACCAGCUACAAAGAGCGCAAUGAUAUUGUUUGAUAGAGCAAGUUCUCAGCUACAAAGCACUAUUUUUCAACGUAGUCCCCACCACUAGCUCUGCGUUUUCACCAGCGAUGAACGUGCUGCUCUCAUAAAAACUUGACCCAGCAGAGAGGAUCGCUGUCACUGUCGCCGCUGCUGAGACACACCACCCACCACCACGCUGCACUCACAUCCACUGCUUGGUCUCCAUAAAUGCUCAUCAGGUGUUGGUGAAUGUCAGUGAGCACUUCUUCAGCCUCUGCUGCCAUCCCACCAUCAGGAGGCAUUACUUUUGGAGCAGCCCUUGUCACUCAAUUGCUCGCUGCUUGUCAGCGCUAAUUUCCUCCUGCCCACGGCCUGGCUGUCCACCUUGGUCUGAGACAAUAAAAAUGUAGAACCUGUGCUGUGAUGUAGUGCCCUUCACAACCAAGAGCAGGGUGAGCGUUCCCGUUGUGACACCACGGGGGUUUGCAUUAUGCCAAAACACUCAGCCUGCCAUGUGGAUACAUCUUUGGCUCAUGUGUGGCAAUUCUGAGAUUGCAACACUUUUCUGGAAAGCAGCACUCAUGCUACAGAGUGUUGGCCUUCCUCACCUUAAACAUUUUCCAGGAGUUUCCAUUUCCCCGUGACAUGGCCGUUACUAUGCUACGAGGUGACAAGUGAAAGCUUAAGAUGAGCCACAGCCUGUGGGCAUUAACACCAGGAAUCCUUGCUCUCCUCCAUGUGAACUUCAAUCCAGUAAACAUGGAGAGCGUCCCGUCCCUGCGCUGCCUGCUGAGUCACGCUGGGCUCUCCGGCCAUGACAUCAUGCACUUUCUCAAAACACAAAGAAAACAAGGCCUUGGCUGGGCUGCGGUGAGCUCAGCUCAUGGUCACGGGAUGGGGUGACUCAGCGUCCCCUCCUCCUCCUUGAGGUGGGGAUUUCCCUCUCCCAGCCCUGAUGCUGGUGUUUCCCCAUGGCCCAGCGCUGGGGCCCUGCUGUGGUCCCAGGUAUUCCUAUGACGCUCACUGCGUCCUCCUAUCCCCACAGCUGGACAGACAGACGGAUGUCUCCCUACCAAACCCCACCUGCACACAGCUCUGCAGCCUGAGAUUUGUCUUGAGCUUAUAUUAACUUGAGCUUGUAUUAACCUGGAGGACCUGGGUUUGGCAUUCAUUUGGCAGCACUGAAUGUUUUCAUGCCAUUCUUUAGGAAUGCCAUCACAUUCAAUCAGAGCAACCCUUGCCCAAAAAGCCACUUGGCAACCCCGGCUUCUGAGCAGCUCCCCAGAUGGACAGAGCAGAAGGACAGCAAAGGGGAUGGAAAUAAAACUGCUCCAGUUUCACGUUUCCAAGUUGCAGAGGAAGGGCUCAGAAAGGAGCAGUCAGCACCCCUGCAGCUCUGCUUCCUCCCUCCACCCACCUUCUGCUGGAAAGUGUUUAAAAAUAUUUGCUGAGAUUGCUGCUUCGAGGGCCUGAUCGCCGAAAGUGCUCCUUCUGCCCAAGCUCUGCGCUGUCACAGCAAAGCCCUGCUGGGAGGCAGCUCCCAUGCUCGCAGACCACAGCAGAGGCUGCUGGUGGUUCUCCAGAGGGAAUCAUUCUCCAAAUCACUGCCCCACAACAACCCAAGGGGCUGCAGCUGGGUGGGAGGGUAGGGUUUGCCCCCAUGCAGAGCCACAGUGAGCAGGUGCUGGUGCUUUCCAGAGGCUUCUGGAGAGGGAUCUUCCGGAUGUGCGAGGGCGGAAGACACAGGCACUGAGCGAAGAAGACAGGAAAAAGGUGCAGAUGACAAGCACAAAGUGCAGCACGCAUCUGUGCCAUGAGAAUACAUCAGAACUCCAUGUUUGCACAGUGCAGGUGCACCGCAAACCCCAAGCGGUGGGAGCGUUUUGCACAUCUGGAAACAGCCCCUCAGCAUCUGAUGCAGCAGAACGUGUCCUGCUAUUGCCCUGAGCUCUGCAAUGGCUGUAGGGCUCGGCACGCUGCUCCCACCCACAGCUCUCUGGAGGGAUUCCCCCAUUAACUGCAGCUCCUACAGUGCACGUCAAGGUUUCAAAAAGUGAUUUGUAGCCCCAAAUGGAGAAGGGAUGCAGAGCUGCCCCAUUCCACCCCACGCACAGGGCUGCUCAUAAUGCAGCAGUGCUGCAGCUCUGGGAGCCUGAGGUGCUCUGCGUUUUCAACCCAGCCUCACUGUGCAGCCCACAAGGAAACGAAGCUGGGCCCAUCAGCAGAAGAUGGCACAAGCAAAGUAACAUUUGUAUCUGAUUUCUUCUGUCCUGGCCCGCAGUUGAAGGUGGACUCUGUGUGGGGUCUCUCUGCACCCACAGCACUGUGCACAGAGUUGUGUGUACUCAGUGCACACCUAUAUAUGUACAGAGAGAGAGAUAGACAGGUGCAUACAGGGAUAUGUACCCAGGCACUCACUUUCAUAUGCACACAGACCUGUGCGGGCACCCUUGGGUGUGUGCAAGACUAUGUCAGGAGUUGUUCAUGCACACACAUACACACGUGUGCAACUGUGUGCACAACCUGAACAUAGAGAUAUGUGCCUUUAUAUAUGCAAACCAUGAGUAUGCACAGCAGCGCAUAGGUACACACACUGCAUGCACACGCACGAACACGUACAUGCAUGUACACACGCACACACACGCGCACACACGCACACUCCAUCUCCGCCGCUGCCGCGCCGCAUUCCCCCGCACGGGGGC